Long non-coding RNA from Juglans microcarpa x Juglans regia, 1730 nucleotides. RefSeq lists it as uncharacterized. Lineage: Eukaryota; Viridiplantae; Streptophyta; Magnoliopsida; Fagales; Juglandaceae. The record is from RefSeq and is a predicted model, not a curated record. The transcript is spliced from 3 exons.
UUGCAUCUAAAUGGCCUAGAAAAAGAAACCAUGUAGAAAAACAUUGCUGACAUCAAUUUGCUUCUGUGACCAGCCAACUGAAAUGGCAAGAUUAGAAUUGUUCUAAUUGUGAUGAGCUUAAUGAUGGGACUAUAGGCCUCAGCAGAAUCUAACCCAGCUUGUUGAAUAAAUCAUUUUACAAAGUUGCUUGCCUUGUACCACUCAACAUUGCCAUUGACUUUUCUUUUACUCCGAAAUAUUCAUCUGCAUCCUACAACAUUCAUAAAGGGUUGAGAGGGAACGUGUCCAAGUGCCAUUUUUUAAGGGCCAUUGAGCUCGCAACCAUAGCAUCAUCCUGGACAACAUGCUUAAUUGUAGAGGAAAUAUAACAUGUAGUUUCAUCAGAGGAAGAAUCAAUUAAAAUUGUUAAGGCAUGUGGUAAUGGGUAUUCAAUAGUGCCAUUUGUGAUGUGAUGUUGGGAACAAGUCGUCAUGUUGUGAGUGAGAGGUUGAGGUCGUGGUUAAGGAGAUGGAUCAUGAAAAGGAUUGGAGGUCAUGUGAGAGCACUCUAUGGCAAAAAUAAUAGGUACAGAAAGAACAAAUGGGAGGGGAGGCUCAAUAGGAGGAGCUAGUGUGGGAGAAGAUGUAGGGAGUGUAAUGGUCAAAGAACAAGACAUAUUGAAGUUUGAAAUAGAAGUGGAUGAGGACUGAGUUCUAUUUGUUUGAAAAGGGAAAACAGGUUUAUUGAAAAUUACAUGUCAAGCAACAUAAUCACAGCCAGAUACAAGUCAAGACACAUAUCCAAUAUGGUUUAUUGUACCUAAGGAAAACAUGACUUGGAUUUAAAGGAUUAUUUGUUGUAAGGUUUAAGAUAGGGCUAACAUCCACUGCAAAGGUCUUUAGGAAUGUCAUGUAGUCAAGUGGUUUUUGGAAAAGAAAUUGAUACUUGUGUUUGUUUAGAUUAAAUGACAGCAUAUUAAUAAUAAAAAAAAGCAGUAUCAAAUGCAUCAUCCCAGUGCUAAAGUUAUUAACAAUGCAAAGAAAUAAUCUUUUAUUAUUGAAAGAUAGAAGAGGGGCAGUACCCCAUACAUCAAGAAAAAGAAGGUCCAGUGGACCUUUGGACAUAGAUGGUGAUAUAUUAAAAUGAGGAUGAUGUAGUUCACCUGGGUGACAAAAGGAACUAAUUGAGGGAGUGUUAUUGUUGAACUCUGGAAGUUUGAAAGAGGACAACACCGGAAGAACGAUGUUGAAUGCAGGAUGACUUAAACGAUGAUGCCAUUGUGAGAUAGAAACACGUUCAGCAACACAAGCAACACUAGAAAAGUUUGAGGAUAAAGGCUAAGGGUAGAGAGCACAUUUUAUUGGGCCUUACAACAGUAAAUUCCUUAUGUGAAAGUUCUUGACAAUAAGAAAAGAUGGAUAAAACGCAAUGACUGUGUGGUUUUAGCUAGUAAAUUGAUUAGUUGAAAUAAUUUUUUUUUUGAACGAGGCACAUGUAAUAUAUUGCACAAAAAAGGUUCAGGAUGUAGAGGGAAGAUGAGUUGAACCAAAUAAAUAAUGUCCAAACAUUGACCAUUUCCAACUUGUAUUUGAUUUGGAGCAUGGCAUUUUUCAGCUUGCACAUUAGUUUGGCUAAGUCAUUUUUUAGGUGAUUGGUGGAACCAAUGUUAGGGUAUCAAUUGAGAUCAGGUGUUUGAGAUUAAACAGUAUAGUAGGCAGAUGGAGGUUGAUUCUAACAUUGGAAGCCGUGGU